Molecule: ribosomal RNA, 305 nt
Filed under: uncultured bacterium
Lineage: Bacteria
Description: bacterial SSU rRNA
Rfam family: Bacterial small subunit ribosomal RNA
Source: RNAcentral
GCCUACGGGACGCAGCAGUGGGGAAUAUUGCACAAUGGGGGAAACCCUGAUGCAGCGACGCCGCGUGAGUGAAGAAGUAUCUCGGUACGUAAAGCUCUAUCAGCAGGGAAGAAAAAAAGUCUUUGGCUUUGGACGGUACCUGACUAAGAAGCCCCGGCUAACUACGUGCCAGCAGCCGCGGUAAUACGUAGGGGGCAAGCGUUAUCCGGAUUUACUGGGUGUAAAGGGAGCGUAGGCGGUGCAGCAAGUCAGAAGUGAAAGCCCGGGGCUCAACUCCGGGACUGCUUUUGAAACUGUUGAACUAG